Long non-coding RNA from Neofelis nebulosa (Clouded leopard), 965 nucleotides. RefSeq lists it as uncharacterized. The transcript is spliced from 3 exons. The record is from RefSeq and is a predicted model, not a curated record. NCBI's taxonomy places the organism in Eukaryota, Metazoa, Chordata, Mammalia, Carnivora, Felidae.
UCUGAGGCAGCAUGAGCUGGCAUUUGGAAACGAUUGGUGUACAUGAUUGCCUCUGGACAAAUUAAGAGACGAACCGAUUUGGCCUUCCCGAAUCUUAGAUGGUGACUGUGGCAUUUAGACUACCCCGAGGGGUUCUGGGAUCCCCAAGCAUCCAGUUUACCAAGGCCGUUGUACUGAGGUUUUAUCCGAACUCCGUUUCUGCACAUCUCUAACUUGCCUCCGGGACAGAAAGUGCUGACGGGAGCAAAGCAGAGGAGGGAAAACAACUCUUAAGGAUCUACAUUGAUUGCGGGAACAGGUAAUCCGAAUGAAGCUACAUGUAAAGACCAAGCCUGAGUUAUCUGAACACACACCAGCUGGACAGUGGGAGGAAACAGCUAAGAAGCCAGUCUGGGAAAGAACAUUUGCCUUGGGUGACUGAUGUGCAAAUAAUAAAGAGUGGCUAUGGUUUGCAGCCCAGUUGUCUCCAGAAGGUGACAGCAUUAAGGUCACGAUCCACUAGUGGUGUGCCCUGGAAUUUGCAUACUCUUACUAAAAGUCAAAGAGUCUGAGUCAAUCUAAAAUUAUGGCAGCUGAUUGCAAAAAUGGCCCCAGUUACGCUGCCCCAUGCAGUCACGAGCUUACUCUAUGACCUGUAACUCUUCCUUUCAAGUAAUAGAACCUAUUUCCUCCCUUCUUGACCCUGGACUGGACUUUUGACUAGUUUGGGUCAUUAAAAUGAAGCAAAAGUAGUAUUGUGCCAUACGCAAGCCUAGGCAUCAGGAGACCUCCUACACUUCACUCCAUCUCUUGGAGGACUGCCACGGACGUGAGCCUGAACCUGGCCUAGCGGCUGGGGUGACGGCCCUGAGCUGGAGCUCCAGGUGUGCAGGAAGGCCCAGCCAAGAUCAGCAGAGCCAAUCUGCCAACUGAGGGUAGACACGUGAGGAUUAACCUGGGAUCAAAGCUGUCCAUCUGACUCCUAC